This 301-nucleotide ribosomal RNA is filed under the name uncultured bacterium. RNAcentral's name for it is "partial 16S ribosomal RNA". It matches the Rfam family "Bacterial small subunit ribosomal RNA", at positions 509 to 807 of the family's 1533-position model. The record is from RNAcentral.
CAGUCGCCGCGGUAAUACGAAGGGUGCAAGCGUUACUCGGAAUUACUGGGCGUAAAGGGUGCGUAGGCGGUUGUUUAAGUCUGUUGUGAAAUCCCAGGGCUCAACCUGGGAAUUGCAGUGGAUACUGGGUCACUAGAGUGUGGUAGAGGAUAGUGGAAUUUCCGGUGUAGCAGUGAAAUGCGUAGAGAUCGGAAGGAACAUCUGUGGCGAAGGCGACUAUCUGGGCCAACACUGACACUGAGGCACGAAAGCGUGGGGAGCAAACAGGAUUAGAUACCCGAGUAGUCCCUGUCUCUUAUAC